This 253-nucleotide ribosomal RNA is filed under the name uncultured bacterium. Its description in RNAcentral is "partial 16S ribosomal RNA". It matches the Rfam family "Bacterial small subunit ribosomal RNA", at positions 524 to 776 of the family's 1533-position model. The record is from RNAcentral.
UACGGAGGGGGCUAGCGUUGUUCGGAAUUACUGGGCGUAAAGCGUACGUAGGCGGCUUUGUAAGUUAGAGGUGAAAGCCCAGAGCUCAACUCUGGAAUUGCCUUUAAGACUGCAUCGCUUGAAUCAUGGAGAGGUUAGUGGAAUUCCGAGUGUAGAGGUGAAAUUCGUAGAUAUUCGGAAGAACACCAGUGGCGAAGGCGACUAACUGGACAUGUAUUGACGCUGAGGUACGAAAGCGUGGGGAGCAAACAGG